UGGGGAAUUUUGGACAAUGGGCGAAAGCCUGAUCCAGCAAUGCCGCGUGAGGGAUGACGGCCUUCGGGUUGUAAACCUCUUUUAGCAGGGAAGAAGCGAGAGUGACGGUACCUGCAGAAAAAGCGCCGGCUAACUACGUGCCAGCAGCCGCGGUAAUACGUAGGGCGCAAGCGUUAUCCGGAAUUAUUGGGCGUAAAGAGCUCGUAGGCGGUUUGUCGCGUCUGCUGUGAAAUCCCGAGGCUCAACCUCGGGCCUGCAGUGGGUACGGGCAGACUAGAUGCGGUAGGGGAGAUUGGAAUUCCUGGUGUAGCGGUGGAAUGCGCAGAUAUCAGGAGGAACACCGAUGGCGAAGGCAGAUCUCUGGGCCGUAACUGACGCUGAGGAGCGAAAGGGUGGGGAGCAAACAGGCUUAGAUACCCUGGUAGUCCACCCGUAAACGUUGGGAACUAAGUUGUGGGGNCCAUUCCACGGAUUCCGUGACGCAGCUAACGCAUUAAGUUCCCCGCCUGGGGAGUACGGCCGCAAGGCUAAAACUU
Molecule: ribosomal RNA, 536 nt
Filed under: uncultured bacterium
Lineage: Bacteria
Description: partial 16S ribosomal RNA
Rfam family: Bacterial small subunit ribosomal RNA
Source: RNAcentral